Molecule: ribosomal RNA, 406 nt
Filed under: uncultured bacterium
Lineage: Bacteria
Description: partial 16S ribosomal RNA
Rfam family: Bacterial small subunit ribosomal RNA
Source: RNAcentral
AUUGAACGCUGGCGGCAGGCCUAACACAUGCAAGUCGAACGAGUGGCGGACGGGUGAGUAAUGUCUGGGAAACUGCCCGAUGGAGGGGGAUAACUACUGGAAACGGUAGCCAAUACCGCAUACCAUCGGAUGUGCCCAGAUGGUAUUAGCUAGUAGGUGGGGUAACGGCUCACAUAGGCGACGAUACCUAGCUGGUCUGAGAGGACGACCAGCCACACUGGAACUGAGACACGGUCCAGACUCCUACGGGAGGCAGCAGUGGGGAAUAUUGCACAAUGGGCGCAAGCCUGAUGCAGCCAUGCCGCGUGUGUGAAGAAGGCCUGCGGGUUGUAAAGUACUUUCAGCGAGGAGGCGUUACUCGCAGAAGAAGCACCGGCUAACUCCGUGCCAGCAGCCGCGGUAAUUC